This 432-nucleotide long non-coding RNA is filed under the name Mytilus galloprovincialis (Mediterranean mussel). Lineage: Eukaryota; Metazoa; Mollusca; Bivalvia; Mytilida; Mytilidae. The record is from RNAcentral.
GUGAAAAUCGAAAUACUGAGUAAGCGUAUGCGAAUAUGUAUACGCAAAAUUAAGAAAUUUAUGUCUAUAGUCUUUGAAAACAAAUCUAGCUGCUCUUCUUUGUACGUUCUCUAUGCGGUUAAUGCCUUUUCGUAGAUAUGGGUCCCAUACAAUGCCUGAGUAAUCUAAGACUGAUCGAACUAGCGAGAUGAAGGCAGUUUCCUUAAAAUGUUUGUUACAGUAUUUAUUUUAUGUCUCCCAGAGGCAAGUGCGCGAUGUGUUAACUUUCCUACUACCAGCUAAUCUUCCUAUGCCUAUUGCAUUUACAAAUUUCCCAACCAGUUACAUCCACACUGCACUCAUGAUUUCCACAAAGCGAAAAGACGAAAGAAGAAAAUCGGCGUACUUAGUUUGGUAUAAAACGCUCUCGUGUCUCGGCAACCGACCAAGUCG